GACGAACGCUGGCGGCGUGCUUAACACAUGCAAGUCGAGCGGUAAGGCUCCUUCGGGAGUACACGAGCGGCGAACGGGUGAGUAACACGUGAGCAAUCUGCCCUUCACAUGGGAAUAACUUCGGGAAACCGAAGCUAAUACCGAAUACGACCACCGAUGGCAUCUUCUGGUGGUGGAAAGUUCCGGCGGUGAAGGAUGAGCUCGCGGCCUAUCAGCUUGUUGGUGAGGUAAUGGCCCACCAAGGCGACGACGGGUAGCCGGCCUGUGAGGGUGACCGGCCACACUGGGACUGAGACACGGCCCAGACUCCUACGGGAGGCAGCAGUGGGGAAUAUUGGACAAUGGGCGAAAGCCUGAUCCAGCAACGCCGCGUGAGGGAUGACGGCCUCGGUGUAAC
Molecule: ribosomal RNA, 397 nt
Filed under: uncultured bacterium
Lineage: Bacteria
Description: bacterial SSU rRNA
Rfam family: Bacterial small subunit ribosomal RNA
Source: RNAcentral